GCGGGGGCAUGGCGGGAGCAAUCCGGCCAUGCUUCAGCGGCGGACGGGUGAGUAACGCGUGGGCAACCUGCCGGACACUGGGGGAUAACGCGGCGAAAGCCGCGGUAAUACCGCAUAAGACCACCAGGGCCGCAUGGUCCGGGGGUCAAAGGAGCAAUCCGGUGUCCGAUGGGCCCGCGUCCGAUUAGGUAGUUGGAGGGGUAACGGCCCCCCAAGCCAAUGAUCGGUAGCCGACCUGAGAGGGUGAUCGGCCACACUGGAACUGAGACACGGUCCAGACUCCUGCGGGAGGCAGCAGUGAGGAAUUUUGGGCAAUGGGCGUAAGCCUGACCCAGCGACGCCGCGUGGAGGAUGAAGGCCUUCGGGUCGUAAACUCCUGUUCUGGGGGAAGAAAACGGGAUGCGUGAAUAAUUCAUCCCGCUGACGGUACCCCAGGAGAAAGCUCCGGCUAAUUACGUGCCAGCAGCCGCGGUAAUACGUAAGGAGCAAGCGUUGUCCGGAUUUACUGGGCGUAAAGAGCUCGUAGGCGGCCGAUCAGGUCUCGCGUAAAAUCCCCCGGCUCAACCGGGGAGGGUCGCGGGAAACCGACCGGCUUGAGGACAGAAAAGGAAAGUGGAAUUCCCGGUGUAGCGGCGAAAUGCGUAGAUAUCGGGAGGAACACCAGUGGUGAAGACGGCUUUCUGGUCUGUUGCUGACGCUGAGGAGCGAAAGCCAGGGGAGCGAACCGGAUUAGAUACCCGGGUAGUCCUGGCCGUAAACGAUGGAUACUAGGUGUGGGGGGUUCGACCCCUUCCGUGCCGCAGCUAACGCAUUAAGUAUCCCGCCUGGGGAGUACGGCCGCAAGGUUGAAACUCAAAGGAAUUGACGGGGGCCCGCACAAGCGGUGGAGCAUGUGGUUUAAUUCGAUGCAACGCGAAGAACCUUACCAGGGUUUGACAUGCUGGUGGUAGAAGCCUGAAAGGGUGACGACCUUCGGUUUUCCGAGGGAGCCAGCACAGGUGCUGCAUGGUUGUCGUCAGCUCGUGUCGUGAGAUGUUGGGUUAAGUCCCGCAACGAGCGCAACCCUUACCCUUAGUUGCGACCAGGUUAUGCUUGAGCACUCUAAGGGGACUGCCGGUGACAAACCGGAGGAAGGUGGGGAUGACGUCAAAUCCGCAUGGCCCUUAUGUCCUGGGCGACACACGUGCUACAAUGGCCAGUACAGAGGGUUGCGAACCCGCGAGGGGGAGCCAAUCCCAAAAAGCUGGCCCCAGUUGGGAUUGCAGGCUGCAACUCGCCUGCAUGAACGCGGAAUCGCUAGUAAUCGCGUAUCAGCUACGGCGCGGUGAAUGCGUUCCCGGGCCUUGUACACACCGCCCGUCACACCACGAAAGUCGAUUUUACCUGAAGUCACUGAGCUAACGCGCAAGGGAGGCAGGUGCCGAAG
RNAcentral lists this ribosomal RNA (1426 nucleotides) under uncultured bacterium. RNAcentral's name for it is "bacterial SSU rRNA". It matches the Rfam family "Bacterial small subunit ribosomal RNA". The record is from RNAcentral.